UCCCCCUUUGAAAACCCUAGCCGCAUGGUCUCCUUCCUGACUCACCCAUUCCCUUUCACGCAAAAGGAAACCGAGAAUUCGCCAUCAUGCACACACAUCUCACCUAUAAAAAAAGUUAAAACAAAAUCCCUGAAUUCUCAUUUUUCUACAUCCGGAUCUGAAGAAGAAAAACGAAAAAAAAAGAUUAAAAAGGUUUUCUGAUUUCUGUUGUGUUACUUGGAGAAUUUAUGGGUUUCUCAUUUGUUUUUGGAUUGAAGUUGAGGUCGACAUUGCUGUUCUUCUGUUGUUUGCUAUCAAAAUGGGAUCUACUCACUUAUGGAUUAAGCUGUUGUUUGAACUUUGAAGCUGCAGAAAUUCAAGCACUGUUAGGCGUUAGUUGCAUGACAAACAUUUUUGUGUAGUUUGCUCACUUAUGGAUUAAUCAUUUUGAAUUGUGGGCGGAGGAAAGACAUAUGUAUUCUGGACUCGUCUGUAAUGUAGUUUGCUUUGGGAUGUAAUGGACUAUCUAUUGUAUUCUAUAGACUGGAAUGUAGUCUGCUGAGCAUAGGAAUUUUAGUUUGAGUCACAAUGGUCAGCAAACAACUAA
Molecule: non-coding RNA, 586 nt
Organism: Nicotiana tabacum (common tobacco)
Lineage: Eukaryota; Viridiplantae; Streptophyta; Magnoliopsida; Solanales; Solanaceae
Source: RefSeq, a predicted model, not a curated record